CAAUAGCGUAUAUUAAAGUUGUUGCGGUUAAAAGCUCGUAGUUGGAUUUCUGCCGAGGAUGACCGGUCCGCCCUGUGGGUGUGCAUCUGGCUCAGCCUUGGCAUCUUCCUGAAGAACGUAGCUGCACUUGACUGUGUGGUGCGGUAUUUAGGACAUUUACUUUGAGAAAAUUAGAGUGUUUCAGGCAGGCUAGGCCGGAAUACAUUAGCAUGGAAUAAUGGAAUAGGACUACGGUCUCGUUGUUGGUUUGAGGGACUGGAGUAAUGAUUAAUAGGGAUAGUUGGGGGCAUUAGUAUUUAAUUGUCAGAGGUGAAAUUCUCAGAUUUGUUAAAGACUAACUUAUGCGAAAGCAUUUGCCAAGGAUGUUUUCAUUAAUCAAGAACGAAAGUUAGGGGAUCAAAGACGAUCAGAU
This 412-nucleotide ribosomal RNA is filed under the name uncultured eukaryote. RNAcentral describes it as "bacterial SSU rRNA". It matches the Rfam family "Eukaryotic small subunit ribosomal RNA", at positions 592 to 1013 of the family's 1831-position model. The record is from RNAcentral.